Molecule: long non-coding RNA, 429 nt
Organism: Alexandromys fortis (reed vole)
Lineage: Eukaryota; Metazoa; Chordata; Mammalia; Rodentia; Cricetidae
Exons: 3
Source: RefSeq, a predicted model, not a curated record
UGAAGACCCAGGGCUCCCGGGGAGCGUGGCGAACGGGCUCUGAAGCCUCGGUCAAGCCGUCUAGGAGAUUGUGAGGCAGCCGGCGAGCCGCUUGUCUAGAUGGAAACUCAGAGAAGUGACUGCUCGAAAAGAGCGGAACUCCAAGACUCUGAACUUCAAGCACUAUAUUGAAGAGGUAUGGAGAGAUUUCCUACCUGGCUUUAGCCAUUGGCCGAAACAGCUUUAUUCAUCAGCCAAUAAAAGCAACACAUAUCCAGAAGGACAUCCUACAUCAGAGUCUGUGUUAGGAUGAAUUGGGAUGUGUCUCAGAAGAAAUACAUGGAUAUCCAGGAUGUCAUUCCAAGGGGAGGAGUGAUUCGGGCUCCCUCUCCUCCUUCACAGCCCCUCCCUCACCUAUGUAAGUGUUCUUGUCAAAGUCAUUACUCAAAA